This 608-nucleotide ribosomal RNA is filed under the name Bacillus subtilis. Its description in RNAcentral is "bacterial SSU rRNA". It matches the Rfam family "Bacterial small subunit ribosomal RNA", at positions 70 to 662 of the family's 1533-position model. The record is from RNAcentral. Lineage: Bacteria; Bacillati; Bacillota; Bacilli; Caryophanales; Bacillaceae.
AGAUGGGAGCUUGCUCCCUGAUGUUAGCGGCGGACGGGUGAGUAACACGUGGGUAACCUGCCUGUAAGACUGGGAUAACUCCGGGAAACCGGGGCUAAUACCGGAUGCUUGUUUGAACCGCAUGGUUCAGACAUAAAAGGUGGCUUCGGCUACCACUUACAGAUGGACCCGCGGCGCAUUAGCUAGUUGGUGAGGUAACGGCUCACCAAGGCAACGAUGCGUAGCCGACCUGAGAGGGUGAUCGGCCACACUGGGACUGAGACACGGCCCAGACUCCUACGGGAGGCAGCAGUAGGGAAUCUUCCGCAAUGGACGAAAGUCUGACGGAGCAACGCCGCGUGAGUGAUGAAGGUUUUCGGAUCGUAAAGCUCUGUUGUUAGGGAAGAACAAGUGCCGUUCAAAUAGGGCGGCACCUUGACGGUACCUAACCAGAAAGCCACGGCUAACUACGUGCCAGCAGCCGCGGUAAUACGUAGGUGGCAAGCGUUGUCCGGAAUUAUUGGGCGUAAAGGGCUCGCAGGCGGUUUCUUAAGUCUGAUGUGAAAGCCCCCGGCUCAACCGGGGAGGGUCAUUGGAAACUGGGGAACUUGAGUGCAGAAGAGGAGAGU